RNAcentral lists this unclassified non-coding RNA (536 nucleotides) under Hevea brasiliensis (rubber tree). The record is from RNAcentral. Lineage: Eukaryota; Viridiplantae; Streptophyta; Magnoliopsida; Malpighiales; Euphorbiaceae.
AUUUAGACUUUUGUGAAGGUAGAUGACGUGCGGCUAGAAAAAGGCAAAUUUAGCCACGUGAAAGAUAGUCACUGCCUUUCAAGAAAACAAAUGACUACUUAUAGUAGUCCAAUUGUUUUCAUUCUGGAUUUUGAUGAGAAAAUUUUCAUAAAAAACCUGCUUUUGAAAUUCAUAUUGCAAUGAAUGCCCCACGAGUCACAAUACUUUAAUUCCAUUGUAUUGUUUAUGGAAUAGCAUUUAAUUUGUCUCUUCUGGAUGGUGGGCUUGGGUUGUUUAUCCCAUUCUUGCAUUGUUUGUUGGCCUUGUCAAUGCAAAAAGGAUGCUCUGUAUUGAUAUUCACUGAGAUUAAUGAUAUGUCUAGUCAUUAUUAUAUGUAUGUACUCAAACCUUUAUUGUUACAAUUAUUUAUAGGAACAUUAUUUGUGGCCCUGAUUCAUUCUGCAUUUUUACAAAGUGCCAAAUAAAACCCAGUCUCCCUACUUCCCCUUAUCUUAGAAGACUUGUCAUUUCUAUUGGUCUUUCUUAAUUCAGAGAUA